CCCUGGGUGGUGUACACGGUUAACAUGUUUGGCUGCUAACCAAAAAGUUGAUGGUCCGAGUCUACCUAGGGG
RNAcentral lists this transfer RNA (72 nucleotides) under Loxodonta africana (African savanna elephant). It matches the Rfam family "tRNA". Rfam says of the family: Transfer RNA (tRNA) molecules are approximately 80 nucleotides in length. Their secondary structure includes four short double-helical elements and three loops (D, anti-codon, and T loops). The record is from Rfam by way of RNAcentral. Lineage: Eukaryota; Metazoa; Chordata; Mammalia; Proboscidea; Elephantidae.